CUUCCCUCCAAGAACUUCCGACCUUGCUCUUGGGGAGACUCGAACUCACAACCUCUCGGUUGGAAGUGGGGAUUGCUUACCAUCAGAGUCAGUUCUGUGAAUGACUCAACUGUUGAAUAAAGUUGUGUGCAAGUACCUUUAGCUGAAUAAUAGUAUCAACUUGACAAGAGUAUGACUAUUAAAUAAUGAAGACAGCUUACAAGAAUGGCAGGACCUGAAAGAGGAUGUUCUUCACUGAGCUUUUAUAUCUUGAAAAGGUGCUUUGGAGUCUUGUUGGAUCUGAAUGUUGGAACCAUAUCUUAAUUAUGUUCCGCUAUAGAAGUUCUGUUCUGGGUUGUUGAUAAGUUCGUGUGGAGAAAACAAUAGAUGAGUUAAAGAUAUUGGUUUUCUGUCUUUUCCUUGUAGGUCUGACUCCGGAAGUAACUGAGCAACGAUAAACCGAUGCAGCCAAUACCAUAUUAUGCAUGCAAUUCGAGCCAUGCACCAGCUACUGUGCGGAUACCAGAUUGAGUGAUAGAUAUUUCAACUGACAUUGGGCUAAGUAUUGGCAUUCUGCUAUGCAGAAAGUUGGCCUGGUUGGAGAUGUGAUAUUGAUCCAAAGACAAGUACUAAUAUAUGAAGAAUCUUGGAAUAGUCGGGGAGUCCCUGACUCGGAGACAUGCUUGUUGGUUAGCUGAAAAGAUGUUAUACGAGUCAGUAGAAGGUGAGUAUAGUCUAAAGUUUAGACAACACACAAACGCAUCCGUAAGUAAACCUGUGUUUUGAAGGUUGUUGAGGUGCAGAGCUAUCUAGUAUAUGUGUUGGUGAGGAUAUCAGCUACUCGAUGAAAUAGUUAAGUUGCGUGCAAGAUGGUAUCCGAUGAAAUAGUCAAGUUGCGCGCAAACUGGUUUGGAUACUAUCGUUAUCAAACAAAAAAGGCAAAAAAUAGUUUUUCCUAAUGUUUUGGAUCAUUUGUGUGAAGGAAAUGUUUAGUUGUGAAAGUGUCCUGUAAUAAGAAUAUCAAAAGCUACUGCCUGUUCUACUUACGUUUGGCUCGAAUACAUGAUCUAUAAGUUGAGGAUGGAGGGGCUGACUACUAAAUCAUUAUCAUAUGUUUUCUUAAUGUCUUAAAUAUAUUGUUUGCUUUUAGAGAAGUUAGGUCGGUUGGAAACAGCCUCUCUGCUCUUCGGGUAGAGGUAAGGUUCGUCUACAUAUUACCUUCCUCAGAUCCUACUUUGUGGGAUUAUACUGGGUAGUUGUUGUGGCAGUUGUUGUUGCUUUUAGAGAAGUUAGCUUUUAAUAGUCUUGAACAAUUCCUCCACUAAAAUGUGAACUUAUAUAUAAUUGAUUCCCACCUUCUUGUUCUA
RNAcentral lists this long non-coding RNA (1346 nucleotides) under Nicotiana benthamiana. Its description in RNAcentral is "long non-coding RNA (NBEN_LNC004440)". The record is from RNAcentral. Lineage: Eukaryota; Viridiplantae; Streptophyta; Magnoliopsida; Solanales; Solanaceae.